Molecule: ribosomal RNA, 588 nt
Filed under: uncultured Verrucomicrobiota bacterium
Lineage: Bacteria; Pseudomonadati; Verrucomicrobiota
Description: bacterial SSU rRNA
Rfam family: Bacterial small subunit ribosomal RNA
Source: RNAcentral
GGACGGCUAACUCUGUGCCAGCAGCCGCGGUAAUACAGAGGUCCCAAGCGUUGUUCGGAUUCAUUGGGCGUAAAGGGUGCGUAGGUGGCGCCGUAAGUGGGGUGUGAAAUUUCGGAGCUUAACUCCGAAACUGCAUUCCAUACUGCGGUGCUUGAGGACUGGAGAGGAGACUGGAAUUUACGGUGUAGCAGUGAAAUGCGUAGAGAUCGUAAGGAAGACCAGUGGCGAAGGCGGGUCUCUGGACAGUUCCUGACACUGAGGCACGAAGGCCAGGGGAGCAAACGGGAUUAGAUACCCCGGUAGUCCUGGCAGUAAACGGUGCACGUUUGGUGUGGGGGGAUUCGACCCCUUCUGCGCCGGAGCUAACGCGUUAAACGUGCCGCCUGGGGAGUACGGUCGCAAGAUUAAAACUCAAAGAAAUUGACGGGGGCCCGCACAAGCGGUGGAGUAUGUGGCUUAAUUCGAUGCAACGCGAAGAACCUUACCUGGCCUUGACAUGCAUCUCUAAGCUGGUGAAAGCCAGUGAGUGUCGAAAGACAUAAUUUGCACAGGUGCUGCAUGGCUGUCGUCAGCUCGUGUCGUGAGAUG